This 209-nucleotide non-coding RNA is filed under the name Candidatus Paraburkholderia kirkii UZHbot1. Its description in RNAcentral is "Candidatus Burkholderia kirkii UZHbot1 Burkholderia sRNA 11". It matches the Rfam family "Burkholderia sRNA 11". Rfam says of the family: Identified by RNA-seq, RACE and Northern blot. The record is from Rfam by way of RNAcentral. Lineage: Bacteria; Pseudomonadati; Pseudomonadota; Betaproteobacteria; Burkholderiales; Burkholderiaceae.
UUUUUUUCGCUAAGGAGCUCCUAUGCGAAAACUGACGGUUGCUCUGAUAGUUAGCCUGAUAGGGUUGAUUGCACUGUUUGUGUCGACCACGGCUGCUACAUGUGGCGGGACUUCUGGUUUUGGCUAUUCGAACCUAAAGUAACCGCCUCGCCCGAAUGCGCUGAGCGCGCACAAAAAAAGCCUUCAUCUGGUGAUGAAGGCUUUUUACU